RNAcentral lists this ribosomal RNA (433 nucleotides) under uncultured bacterium. RNAcentral's name for it is "partial 16S ribosomal RNA". It matches the Rfam family "Bacterial small subunit ribosomal RNA", at positions 29 to 507 of the family's 1533-position model. The record is from RNAcentral.
AGCGAACGCUGGCGGCAGGCUUAACACAUGCAAGUCGAGCGGGCCCUUCGGGGUCAGCGGCAGACGGGUGAGUAACACGUGGGAACGUACCCUUUGGUUCGGAAUAACGCUGGGAAACUAGCGCUAAUACCGGAUACGCCCUUUUGGGGAAAAGCUUGCUGCCGAAGGAUCGGCCCGCGUCUGAUUAGCUAGUUGGUGGGGUAAUGGCCUACCAAGGCGACGAUCAGUAGCUGGUCUGAGAGGAUGAUCAGCCACACUGGGACUGAGGCACGGCCCAGACUCCUACGGGAGGCAGCAGUGGGGAAUAUUGGACAAUGGGCGCAAGCCUGAUCCAGCCAUGCCGCGUGAGUGAUGAAGGCCUUAGGGUUGUAAAGCUCUUUUGUCCGGGACGAUAAUGACGGUACCGGAAGAAUAAGCCCCGGCUAACUUCGUG